RNAcentral lists this ribosomal RNA (698 nucleotides) under Escherichia coli. RNAcentral describes it as "partial 23S ribosomal RNA". It matches the Rfam family "Bacterial large subunit ribosomal RNA", at positions 612 to 1309 of the family's 2925-position model. Lineage: Bacteria; Pseudomonadati; Pseudomonadota; Gammaproteobacteria; Enterobacterales; Enterobacteriaceae. The record is from RNAcentral.
AUAAUGGGUCAGCGACUUAUAUUCUGUAGCAAGGUUAACCGAAUAGGGGAGCCGAAGGGAAACCGAGUCUUAACUGGGCGUUAAGUUGCAGGGUAUAGACCCGAAACCCGGUGAUCUAGCCAUGGGCAGGUUGAAGGUUGGGUAACACUAACUGGAGGACCGAACCGACUAAUGUUGAAAAAUUAGCGGAUGACUUGUGGCUGGGGGUGAAAGGCCAAUCAAACCGGGAGAUAGCUGGUUCUCCCCGAAAGCUAUUUAGGUAGCGCCUCGUGAAUUCAUCUCCGGGGGUAGAGCACUGUUUCGGCAAGGGGGUCAUCCCGACUUACCAACCCGAUGCAAACUGCGAAUACCGGAGAAUGUUAUCACGGGAGACACACGGCGGGUGCUAACGUCCGUCGUGAAGAGGGAAACAACCCAGACCGCCAGCUAAGGUCCCAAAGUCAUGGUUAAGUGGGAAACGAUGUGGGAAGGCCCAGACAGCCAGGAUGUUGGCUUAGAAGCAGCCAUCAUUUAAAGAAAGCGUAAUAGCUCACUGGUCGAGUCGGCCUGCGCGGAAGAUGUAACGGGGCUAAACCAUGCACCGAAGCUGCGGCAGCGACGCUGAUGCGUUGUUGGGUAGGGGAGCGUUCUGUAAGCCUGCGAAGGUGUGCUGUGAGGCAUGCUGGAGGUAUCAGAAGUGCGAAUGCUGACAUAAGUAA